RNAcentral lists this non-coding RNA (28 nucleotides) under Rattus norvegicus (Norway rat). Lineage: Eukaryota; Metazoa; Chordata; Mammalia; Rodentia; Muridae. The record is from RNAcentral.
CUGUGUAGUGCUACACCUAAUUUAUGGU